UCAAGCGAACAAGUGCAUGUGGUGGAUGCCUUGGCGAUCACAGGCGAUGAAGGACGCGGUAGCCUGCGAAAAGCGGGGGGGAGCUGGCAAACGAGCUUUGAUCCCCCGAUAUCCGAAUGGGGAAACCCACUCCUUAUGGAGUAUCCGUAACUGAAUACAUAGGUUACGUGAAGCGAACGCGGUGAACUGAAACAUCUAAGUAACCGCAGGAAAAGAAAUCAACCGAGAUUCCCAGAGUAGUGGCGAGCGAAAUGGGACCAGCCUGUACUCUUUAUCUUCAUUGUUAGUCGAAGGCUCUGGAAAGUGCCGCCAUAGCAGGUGAUAGCCCUGUAGACGAAAACAGCGAGGAAGAACUGGGUGUACGACAAGUAGGGCGGGACACGUGAAAUCCUGUCUGAAGAUGGGGGGACCAUCCUCCAAGGCUAAAUACUCGUGAUCGACCGAUAGUGAACCAGUACCGUGAGGGAAAGGCGAAAAGAACCCCGGGAGGGGAGUGAAAUAGAUCCUGAAACCGCAUGCAUACAAACAGUCGGAGCCUCUGCGAAGGGGUGACGGCGUACCUUUUGUAUAAUGGGUCAGCGACUUACAUUCAGUGGCAAGCUUAACCGAUUAGGGCAGGCGUAGCGAAAGCGAGUCCGAACAGGGCGUUCAGUCGCUGGGUGUAGACCCGAAACCAGGUGAUCUAUCCAUGGCCAGGAUGAAGGUGCGGUAACACGUACUGGAGGUCCGAACCCACUAACGUUGAAAAGUUAGGGGAUGAGCUGUGGAUAGGGGUGAAAGGCUAAACAAACCUGGAAAUAGCUGGUUCUCUCCGAAAACUAUUUAGGUAGUGCCUCGUGUAUCACCUUCGGGGGUAGAGCACUGUCAUGGUUGUGGGGUCCAUUGCGGAUUACUACGCCAUAGCAAACUCCGAAUACCGAAGAGUGCAAUCACGGGAGACAGACAUCGGGUGCUAACGUCCGGUGUCAAGAGGGAAACAACCCAGACCGCCAGCUAAGGUCCCCAAAUAUUGCUAAGUGGGAAACGAAGUGGGAAGGCUAAAACAGUCAGGAGGUUGGCUUAGAAGCAGCCAUCCUUUAAAGAAAGCGUAAUAGCUCACUGAUCGAGUCGUCCUGCGCGGAAGAUGUAACGGGGCUAAGCAAUAUACCGAAGCUGCGGAUGCACAUUUAUGUGCAUGGUAGGAGAGCGUUCCGUAAGCCUGCGAAGGUGCAUUGAAAAGUGCGCUGGAGGUAUCGGAAGUGCGAAUGCUGACAUGAGUAGCGAUAAAGGGGGUGAAAGGCCCCCUCGCCGUAAGCCCAAGGUUUCCUACGCAACGUUCAUCGGCGUAGGGUGAGUCGGCCCCUAAGGCGAGGCAGAAAUGCGUAGCUGAUGGGAAGCAGGUUAAUAUUCCUGCACCAUUGUUAAAUGCGAUGGGGGGACGGAUCGCGGAAGGUUGUCCGGGUGUUGGAAGUCCCGGUCCUUGCAUUGGAGAAGGCGCUUAGGCAAAUCCGGGC
RNAcentral lists this ribosomal RNA (1493 nucleotides) under Paraburkholderia aspalathi. RNAcentral describes it as "23S ribosomal RNA (partial)". It matches the Rfam family "Bacterial large subunit ribosomal RNA", at positions 3 to 1547 of the family's 2925-position model. Lineage: Bacteria; Pseudomonadati; Pseudomonadota; Betaproteobacteria; Burkholderiales; Burkholderiaceae. The record is from RNAcentral.